AUAGCUCAGCUGGUUAGAGCAUGGUGCUGAUAAUGCCAAGGUUGCAGGUUUGAUCCUGAUAAGGGAUACCUGCAUA
Non-coding RNA from Podarcis lilfordi (Lilford's wall lizard), 76 nucleotides. Lineage: Eukaryota; Metazoa; Chordata; Lepidosauria; Squamata; Lacertidae. The record is from the annotation of a GenBank genome assembly.